GGGCUGUCUCAUAUCAUGGUGACCACCA
RNAcentral lists this non-coding RNA (28 nucleotides) under Homo sapiens (human). The record is from RNAcentral. Lineage: Eukaryota; Metazoa; Chordata; Mammalia; Primates; Hominidae.